UACAGAGGUCCCAAGCGUUGUUCGGAUUCACUGGGCGUAAAGGGUGCGUAGGUGGCAUGUUAAGUUUGAUGUGAAAGCUCAGGGCUUAACCCUGAAAUGGCAUUGAAUACUAGCGUGCUGGAGGUUUGGAGGGGGGACUGGAAUUCUUGGUGUAGCAGUGAAAUGCGUAGAUAUCGUAAGGAAGACCAGUGGCGAAGGCGGGUCUCUGGACAGUUCCUGACGCUGAGGCACGAAGGUCAGGGGAGCAAACGGG
Molecule: ribosomal RNA, 253 nt
Filed under: uncultured bacterium
Lineage: Bacteria
Description: partial 16S ribosomal RNA
Rfam family: Bacterial small subunit ribosomal RNA
Source: RNAcentral